AGAGUUUGAUCCUGGCUCAGGAUGAACGCUGCGGCGUGCUUAACACAUGCAAGUCGAACGGACCAUAUUGAAACCUAGUGAUAUAUGGGUUAGUGGCGGACGGGUGAGUAACGCGUGGGUAACCUGCCUUACACAGGGGAUAACACUUAGAAAUAGGUGCUAAACCGCAUAAGCGCACAGCUUCGCAUGAAGCGGUGUGAAAAACUCCGGUGGUGUAAGAUGGACCCGCGUCUGAUUAGCUUGUUGGCGGGGUAACGGCCCACCAAGGCGACGAUCAGUAGCCGGCCUGAGAGGGCGGACGGCCACAUUGGGACUGAGACACGGCCCAGACUCCUACGGGAGGCAGCAGUGGGGAAUAAAUUGCACAAUGGGGGAAACCCUGAUGCAGCGACGCCGCGUGAGUGAAGAAGUAAUUCGUUACGUAAAGCUCUAUCAGCAGGGAAGAAAUACUGACCUUACGGUCAGCAGACGGUACCUGAGUAAGAAGCCCCGGCUAACUACGUG
This 504-nucleotide ribosomal RNA is filed under the name uncultured Eubacteriales bacterium. Its description in RNAcentral is "bacterial SSU rRNA". It matches the Rfam family "Bacterial small subunit ribosomal RNA", at positions 8 to 507 of the family's 1533-position model. The record is from RNAcentral. Lineage: Bacteria; Bacillati; Bacillota; Clostridia; Eubacteriales.